RNAcentral lists this ribosomal RNA (234 nucleotides) under uncultured bacterium. RNAcentral describes it as "partial 16S ribosomal RNA". It matches the Rfam family "Bacterial small subunit ribosomal RNA", at positions 524 to 757 of the family's 1533-position model. The record is from RNAcentral.
UACGUAGGGUGCAAGCGUUAAUCGGAAUUACUGGGCGUAAAGCGUGCGCAGGCGGUGAUGUAAGACAGAUGUGAAAUCCCCGGGCUCAACCUGGGAACUGCAUUUGUGACUGCAUCGCUGGAGUGCGGCAGAGGGGGAUGGAAUUCCGCGUGUAGCAGUGAAAUGCGUAGAUAUGCGGAGGAACACCGAUGGCGAAGGCAAUCCCCUGGGCCUGCACUGACGCUCAUGAGCGAA